GCCUGGGUAGCUCAGUUGGUUAAGCGUCUGACUUUGGCUCAGGUCAUGAUCUCAUGGUUUGUGGGUUCGAGCCCCACACCAAGCU
This 85-nucleotide transfer RNA is filed under the name Felis catus (domestic cat). It matches the Rfam family "tRNA". From Rfam's summary of the family: Transfer RNA (tRNA) molecules are approximately 80 nucleotides in length. Their secondary structure includes four short double-helical elements and three loops (D, anti-codon, and T loops). Further hydrogen bonds mediate the characteristic L-shaped molecular structure. tRNAs have two regions of fundamental functional importance: the anti-codon, which is responsible for specific mRNA codon recognition, and the 3' end, to which the tRNAs corresponding amino acid is attached (by aminoacyl-tRNA synthetases). tRNAs cope with the degeneracy of the genetic code in two manners: having more than one tRNA (with a specific anti-codon) for a particular amino acid; and 'wobble' base-pairing, i.e. permitting non-standard base-pairing at the 3rd anti-codon position. The record is from Rfam by way of RNAcentral. RNAcentral also lists the same sequence under 2 other names. Lineage: Eukaryota; Metazoa; Chordata; Mammalia; Carnivora; Felidae.